RNAcentral lists this ribosomal RNA (400 nucleotides) under uncultured bacterium. RNAcentral's name for it is "bacterial SSU rRNA". It matches the Rfam family "Bacterial small subunit ribosomal RNA", at positions 355 to 772 of the family's 1533-position model. The record is from RNAcentral.
UGGGGAAUAUUGCACAAUGGGGGAAACCCUGAUGCAGCGACGCCGCGUGAGCGAAGAAGUAUUUCGGUAUGUAAAGCUCUAUCAGCAGGGAAGAUAAUGACGGUACCUGACUAAGAAGCCCCGGCUAACUACGUGCCAGCAGCCGCGGUAAUACGUAGGGGGCAAGCGUUAUCCGGAUUUACUGGGUGUAAAGGGAGCGUAGACGGCAAGGCAAGUCUGAUGUGAAAACCCAGGGCUUAACCCUGGGACUGCAUUGGAAACUGUCUGGCUCGAGUGCCGGAGAGGUAAGCGGAAUUCCUAGUGUAGCGGUGAAAUGCGUAGAUAUUAGGAAGAACACCAGUGGCGAAGGCGGCUUACUGGACGGUAACUGACGUUGAGGCUCGAAAGCGUGGGGAGCAAA